Long non-coding RNA from Magnolia sinica, 487 nucleotides. RefSeq lists it as uncharacterized. The record is from RefSeq and is a predicted model, not a curated record. The transcript has 3 exons. NCBI's taxonomy places the organism in Eukaryota, Viridiplantae, Streptophyta, Magnoliopsida, Magnoliales, Magnoliaceae.
AGCGUCAUCGUCCUUCGGCCAUCACCUUUAAACGGAAGGCCCUAUGUUCCGUUUCACCUCCACUAAGCUUUUCAUCUUCUUAUGCGUGACAGAAGAUACACAUAUUUCUAUUAUGAUUUGUUUUGAUUUUUUUCUUUGCUUAUGCGUAAAAUGUUCUAAUUUAAAUAUUAAGAACUACGUAGUGGCUUGAUCCCAAUCUUCCAACAUUGGGUAUGUAGGCAGCCGUUCAUACUAGACCAUAUUGGUGCAGCCACAAAAUUUAUUUUUUUUCCCCUUCUCGUAGUGUGGAUGCAUUUUCGUCAGGACUACUUGGCAAUAAGAGUGAGGUGGAUGAAGGGCUCAAAAGAAGGUUGAACAAGAGAAGAUAGCAAGUAGCCAAUUCAAGGCAAGGCAUAGCCAACAGUUGAAGUUCCAGGUAAUUUCUUUUGUAUGAGUCCUAGUUUGGGGGGGAAGUGUUUAGUUAGGAGGGUUAAAGUCAAUUUUCGGA